UUUCCUUAGCAAUUUUUACUAAUAGUAAUUAAUUGAAUCAAAUACAGUUUGCUGCUUGGAACUCUUCCAAUUUACUGCUCCUCUAGUAUUUUUCAAAUACUUCGAGAAUGCUUUUUAUAGUUUUCAAAAGAUCCUAUUAUGGAUCUGCCUGAAAUCGAUGAUUAUGUACAAGACAUAAAUCACAUCAAGCUUGGUACAUUAAAUAUAUGG
This 210-nucleotide long non-coding RNA is filed under the name Elaeis guineensis (African oil palm). RNAcentral describes it as "long non-coding RNA (EGUI_LNC048909)". Lineage: Eukaryota; Viridiplantae; Streptophyta; Magnoliopsida; Arecales; Arecaceae. The record is from RNAcentral.